This 301-nucleotide ribosomal RNA is filed under the name uncultured bacterium. RNAcentral's name for it is "partial 16S ribosomal RNA". It matches the Rfam family "Bacterial small subunit ribosomal RNA", at positions 509 to 809 of the family's 1533-position model. The record is from RNAcentral.
CAGUCGCCGCGGGAAUACGUAGGGUGCAAGCGUUAAUCGGAAUUACUGGGCGUAAAGCGUGCGCAGGCGGUUAUAUAAGACAGAUGUGAAAUCCCCGGGCUCAACCUGGGAACUGCAUUUGUGACUGUAUAGCUAGAGUACGGCAGAGGGGGAUGGAAUUCCGCGUGUAGCAGUGAAAUGCGUAGAUAUGCGGAGGAACACCGAUGGCGAAGGCAAUCCCCUGGGCCUGUACUGACGCUCAUGCACGAAAGCGUGGGGAGCAAACAGGAUUAGAUACCCGUGUAGUCCCUGUCUCUUAUAA